UGUGUGUGUGUGUGUGUGUGUGUGUGUGUGUGUAUAUAUAUAUAUAUAUAUACACACACACAUAUAUAUAUAUACACACACACACACACACACACACACACACAUA
This 106-nucleotide microRNA precursor is filed under the name Pelobates cultripes (western spadefoot toad). Lineage: Eukaryota; Metazoa; Chordata; Amphibia; Anura; Pelobatidae. The record is from RNAcentral.